AUGCAUCCCAACACGUCCACACAUACAUACUCAGACAGUAGUACAUCAAACAUGGCCGGAGCUCAUCGUAAGGUCCGCGAGCUGUUAGAGCACACGCGGCGGCGCUCGACGGCCGCGCUCAACAAUGUAAUGUCCCUCAUGCGCUCGCUCUCCGGGUCAUACGCGCAGCACCACGUCAAGGAGCGCGUGGCGCGGUGGCGCCGCGCGCUCGCCGGGCGGUUAUCGCCGCGCCUCGGCUCGCUGCUCGUCCACGUCGCGUACUUCCUCGCCGUCUCCUGGCUCGGUUACCUUGUCCUCGCGCAGCUCAGGUUCCGCGCCGGCGGCGAGGGGACGAGGCGGCCCGGCGCCAUCGAUCUGUUCUUCACCGCCGUCUCGGCCGCGACGGUGUCGAGCAUGUCCACCGUCGAGAUGGAGGCGUUCUCCAACGGCCAGCUCCUCGUCCUGACCGUGCUCAUGUUCGUCGGCGGCGAGGUGUUUUUGUCGCUCCUAGGCCUCGCGUCCAAGUGGUCCAAGCUGAGGAAGCAAGCUGUACGCAAAUCCCGUCGCGUCGAGAUCCACGACGUCGCCGAGCUUGAGAUGCCGCCGGUCGCCGCUGCUGGCGAAUUCGACAACCCAACGUCGAUUACGUCGACCGCCGACGACGAGAUGAGCAAGCCGUUGGACCGCUUCGAUGACACGAGGCUGCGGCGCGACGCGGUGUUGUCGCUCUUCUUCGUCGUCCUCGCCAUCCUCCUGACGGUGCACGUCGUCGGAGCCGUCGCCGUCGCGGCGUACAUCUUGCAUGCGUCGCCGGCGGCGAGGCGGACGCUUCGGGAGAAGGCCCUGAACGAGUGGACAUUCGCCGUGUUCACGACGGUGUCCACGUUCUCGAGCUGCGGGUACAUGCCGACAAACGAGAACAUGGCGGUGUUCAAGCGGGACACCGGUCUGCAGCUGCUGCUCGUGCCGCAGGCGCUGGUCGGGAACACGCUGUUCCCGCCGCUGCUGGCCGCGUGCGUGCGCGCCGCCGCCGCGGCAACCAGGCGCGUGGAGCUCAAGGAGACGGCGAAGGAGGGCGGGGAACUGACGGGGUACUACCACCUGCUCCCGGCGCGGCGGUGCGCGAUGCUAGCGGCAACGGUGGCCGGGUUCGUCGCCGUGCAGGCGGCGAUGUUGUGCGGCAUGGAGUGGGGUGGCGCGCUGAGCGGGAUGAGCGCGUGGGAGAAGGUGUCGAACGCGGUGUUCCUCGCGGUGAACUCCCGGCACACCGGCGAGACAACCCUCGACCUCUCCACCCUCGCGCCGGCCAUCCUCGUCCUCUUCGUGCUCAUGAUGUACCUCCCUCCAUACACGACAUGGUUUCCAUUUGGAGAGAGCUCCAGCGUGAAGGACCAUCCCACGGAGGAGACCCAGGGGGUGAGGUUGCUCAAGAGCACGCUUCUGUCACAACUCUCCUACCUUGCCAUCUUUGUCAUCGCCAUCUGCGUCACUGAGAGGGAAAAGCUCAAGGAGGACCCCCUCAACUUCAACUUGCUCAGCAUCGUCGUCGAAGUCGUCAGCGCUUAUGGAAAUGUGGGCUUCUCCAUGGGCUACAGCUGCAGUAGGCAGAUCAGCCCGGACGGGAUGUGCACUGACAGGUGGACCGGCUUCGCUGGGAGGUGGAGCGAUUCCGGCAAACUCAUCCUCAUUCUUGUCAUGCUCUUCGGGAGGCUGAAAAAGUUCAGCAUGAACGCGGGCAAAGCCUGGAAGCUUAGUUAG
This 1737-nucleotide ribosomal RNA is filed under the name Triticum aestivum (bread wheat). Its description in RNAcentral is "partial small subunit ribosomal RNA". The record is from RNAcentral. Lineage: Eukaryota; Viridiplantae; Streptophyta; Magnoliopsida; Poales; Poaceae.